AGGUGCCACUGUCCCAGGGUUCAUUUUUUUUUUAUGCAAUUGUUUUCAUAGCAACUGUUAUGGGAUCUUCCAUAGUUUAAUGAUCUAAGGUGGGAAGUAUUUACCACUCUCCUGAACUGUGCUAUAGUCUCUGAGAGACCACAAGUACUUUGUCUCCCUUAGAACUAAAUCUGCUUACUCCUGUGGCAAAUGGUUGUGUGUUAGUUCUUCUCCUUGCCUUGGAACUGCAACCCAUGGUUGUUACCCAGAUCUGUGUAUGGGCAAUGCAACAGAGUCCUGCAACCUCUCUAAUCUCCUUGGAUGACUUAUCUGACCCCUUUACAAUGUAAGGGCUGAAAGCUCCAAAUGUUGCUGCUGAUGAUUCAUUUGCCCCCAAGGCUGGUAACUGGCUUAUAGAGGGAAGACCUGCCCUGGUGCAUCCUGCAGUGAACUAUACUCCACUCUCAUAUCAGAUUUAGUGGCCUUUUCUCAUCCAUGUUGGAAAUUCAAAUUGGGCUUCAAUCUCUUACAAUCCAUGUGACCUUUGGCAGGGAUUGCCCAUCUCCCCACCUAGGAAUUUGCCCAGUCACUAAUAUAUGCCCAAUCUAUCUUCAGUGGAAUGUGCCAACCACUUUCUUUUUGUGAAAAAAAGGAAGAAAAGGGAAAAGAAGAGGAAGAACAGGAAGGAGGAGGAGAAAAGCAAGAACAAGAAGGAAGAGUAAUAGUUUUCGUUUGCACUCAGACUCAAUAG
Long non-coding RNA from Monodelphis domestica (gray short-tailed opossum), 730 nucleotides. The record is from Ensembl. Lineage: Eukaryota; Metazoa; Chordata; Mammalia; Didelphimorphia; Didelphidae.